Molecule: ribosomal RNA, 421 nt
Filed under: uncultured bacterium
Lineage: Bacteria
Description: bacterial SSU rRNA
Rfam family: Bacterial small subunit ribosomal RNA
Source: RNAcentral
AAUCAACGCUGGCGGCGUGCCUCAGACAUGCAAGUCGAACGCGAAAUUUCCCUUCGGGGAGAAAGUAGAGUGGCGCACGGGUGAGUAACACGUAGGUAAUUUGCCUUUGGGUGGGGAAUAACUCGGGGAAACUUGAGCUAAUACCGCAUAAUGCAGCGGCUCGACAUCGAGACAGUUGUUAAAGCGGGGGAUCGCAAGACCUCGCGCCUGAAGAGAAGCCUGCGGCAGAUUAGCUAGUUGGUAAGGUAAUGGCUUACCAAGGCGACGAUCUGUAACCGGCCUGAGAGGGCGGUCGGUCACACUGACACUGACAUACGGGUCAGACUCCUACGGGAGGCAGCAGUCGGGAAUUUUGGGCAAUGGGCGAAAGCCUGACCCAGCAACGCCGCGUGAAGGAUGAAAUCCCUCGGGAUGUAAACUU